UCAGAUUGAACGCUGGCGGCAGGCCUAACACAUGCAAGUCGAGCGGUAACAUUUCUAAGCUUGCUUAGAAGAUGACGAGCGGCGGACGGGUGAGUAAUGCUUGGGGAUCUGCCUGAUGGCGGGGGACAACCACUGGAAACGGUGGCUAAUACCGCAUAAUACCUAUGGGUCAAAGUGUGGGACCUUCGGGCCACACGCCAUCAGAUGAACCCAAGUGAGAUUAGCUGGUUGGUAAGGUAACGGCUUACCAAGGCGACGAUCUCUAGCUGGUCUGAGAGGAUGAUCAGCCACACUGGGACUGAGACACGGCCCAGACUCCUACGGGAGGCAGCAGUGGGGAAUAUUGGACAAUGGGGGCAACCCUGAUCCAGCCAUGCCGCGUGUGUGAAGAAGGCCUUCGGGUUGUAAAGCACUUUCAGUGGUGAGGAAGGUGGUGUCGUUAAUAGCGGCAUCAAUUGACGUUAGCCACAGAAGAAGCACCGGCUAACUCCGUGCCAGCAGCCGCGGUAAUACGGAGGGUGCGAGCGUUAAUCGGAAUUACUGGGCGUAAAGCGCACGUAGGCGGUAUGUUAAGCAAGAUGUGAAAGCCCAGAGCUCAACUCUGGAAUAGCAUUUUGAACUGGCAUGCUAGAGUUUUGGAGAGGGUGGUAGAAUUUCCAGUGUAGCGGUGAAAUGCGUAG
This 680-nucleotide ribosomal RNA is filed under the name uncultured bacterium. Its description in RNAcentral is "bacterial SSU rRNA". It matches the Rfam family "Bacterial small subunit ribosomal RNA", at positions 24 to 693 of the family's 1533-position model. The record is from RNAcentral.